This is a non-coding RNA of Rattus norvegicus (Norway rat), 2808 nucleotides long. The record is from RefSeq and is a predicted model, not a curated record. Lineage: Eukaryota; Metazoa; Chordata; Mammalia; Rodentia; Muridae.
CAUUUACCUUGUCAUUUCGUUGCUGAGCAACACAGUUUAAGCUGCACAACCCAGUGAGGCCAACCAUUAAGAAUCAGUGUGGAGGGGGUGCGGAGGGGGACAUGCUAAUCAAGACUGUAAGAAUGAUGGACAUGGAGGAUUCCCACCCUCUGCUCCGCUUGUACUCUCAGAAGUGAGGGGUAGUUUGGACAUAUUGAACACCACAGACCAUGCAGAAGGCUUGACCCUUCCUGGCAUGGGCUAGCUGCAGCCAGCCACUCUGAAGUGAGCCUGUGGGCUGCAUCUAUCACUAUGGCAACUACUUCCCUAGCACUGGGGCUAAAAUGAGGCUCUGUGGGUGUCCAACGGUGAUUGGAGUCUCCUCUGACACAAUGAACAAACGGAUGAGUCACUGCAGGGAAGGGCACUGUCACUCCUACUGAAAGGAGACAGACUGGAGGCUGGCGAAGAACCCUCAGAGUAGAAGAGGGAGCCAGAAGCCUGGGUGGGCAAGAUACCAACCACAAGACCUCAGAACUAGCCACUAAAAUUAGCUGGUCCUAAAGUAGAAGCAGCAGCAGCGAACACGGUGCUCCAGAGGCAAACCUGACCCACUACGACUGGCUCAUUGCUGCGGAGGGAGGAACAUGGCUUCCCAGCCUGGCUGUUGCAGGUUGUGGGACAAAGUUCUAUUAGAAAUGAUCUGACCAGUGCCUGUUUGUUAUACGAGCAGCUUCUCAGGGACUACCCAGAGGCUAGAGAAUCUAGAGAGGGGUGCCCACAGUCCACUUAACAAAGAAGUAGGGCAUGCAGCAGAGUCUGGGCAAACCUGAGGGCUGUCCUAUAUGGAGACAGACUCACAGGAGGCAAGUGCUGGAAGAGUCAACGCUAAACCUUUUUGGGAGAAGGAAGGCUCUUCUGAUGAUAAAGGCGAGGUUGCCAAUCCUUUGACAAGAUAGCAUGGAUGUUUACUAAAUGGAGGCAGUUGGGCAGGACUUACAGGGCCUUGGUGCCCAUGGCCGAGCCUCAAGAUCUUUCCUUUCCUGCCCCCAUGUUACUGACAGUGGUAUGACUCUGCAAGAGAACGAACAGUGACAGAUAUUGUGGUUGUCGUGAGAUGUUCCCAUAUGUCUCAGGCAUUUGAAUACUUAAUCUCCAGUUGGUGGCUAGUGGGGAGGAUUAGGAAGUGUAGCUUUGCUAGAUGAAGUAUGCCACCAAGGGCAGGUUUUGAGGUUUCGAAAAACUGCUGCCAUUUUGAGUUAGCUCUCGCUGUCCCUUGUUUGUAGAUUGGAACGAGAGCUCUCAGCUGCUGCUCCAGUAUCAUGGCUGCCUGCUUGCUGCCUUGCUCCCCACUGUGAUAGCAAUGUGUUCCUAUCCCUCUGGAACCCAAGUAAAUACUUUCUUCUAUAAUUUUCCUUGACCAUAGUGUCUUAGCAUAGAAACCCUAACUAAUGCAGAUAAUUAAGAGAUUUUUGAGUUUCUGAACUACAGGUUAAAGAAUUUUAAGUAGCACAUGCUGGGAUCAGGAACUGAGGAAGGCAUCAGAGAUCUGGAUCCAUCAUCAGGACAUGCAUGGUAACUGAACCAGGUGAUGGGUAACUGAAGAGAUCCCAGUAGACACCCAACACAUGUGCAGGGAGGCAUGCAACUUCAGUCUGGGUGAGACUUUGCCUCUCUAGGGAUGGGAGAAGGAGGUCAGUGGGGCUGGUUUCUACUGUUUGUUGUAUGUUUCUUCUUAUUCUUGUAUUUUGUAUACACACGCCCUCAAAGAAUCUCCACAAAUGAACUCGCAAGGUCAGUGAAUACAGCACAGGUACAUCUUUCCAGAAAGAAUUCAUAUUUACUCUUGCUUAGAGAUCUAGCAGCCCAAGCUCAGUUAUUAAUUAAUUGAUUAUUUAUUUUGAGACAGAGUCACUGUGUAGCCCUGGAAGGACUACACUAUAUAGAUCAGGCUGGCCUCAAACUCGGACAUCUGCUUGCCUCUGCCUUCCAAGGUGUGUACCACCAUGCUUGGGCCCAAGCUUGUCUCUACCAAAUUCAUGGCCUGAGAUGAUUUGAUCACUGAUGGCCGAGUUUGAAUAGCAGUUCCUGCCAGGAGUGACUCCUAGAUUCAAUUUUUCAGGACUAUUUUUAGCCUUCCCUCUUUCCAUAUUUGUAUUUCCUCUGUUACUGGGAAGCCAUCUUUACUCUUAACAUCUUUAGUUGCAGACUGUAAGGCACUGCCUUAGCCCACAGUGCUUCUCUAUUCUACUUGUAUACUUUUUUUUCCUACCUUGCUUUUGGGUCUCAUUUCAAGGAAGAGGAAUGAUGAAGAAGAUAGAAAGGGAGGAAAGAUAGGAAAAAGGAAGGUGAGAAGGGAAGAGAAAAAUAAUAAGAGAAAUUGAAGUGGGAAGGAAAGAGUUUAAUUUUAAGACAGCACCAUGCAUUGCCCUUAGUAAUUUGCUGUUCUCGAUAAUGUCAAGGUUGUGGUAAGGGUCUUGGCUUAGUUACUAUACUUAUGUUUCUUCAGGAGAGUUCUGUGCAACUGUUUCAAGGUCACACUUAAGCUCACAGUAAAAACAAUAAAGAAUUGAGGUUUGAUGGCAGGGAGCGGUUGCUCUGCUAAACCAAUGAGGUUUAAAAUAUGGGGCCCUAGAGUCAGACAGAGCUGUGGCUUAACGCUGCUUCCUUUUUUCCCUUUGUGUUAGUCACUUGCUGUGAAUCUGAUGGCUCAUCUGCGAACAGGUUGCUGUAAGCUGUUCAGGAUAUGGCAAAAGAUGAAGGUGAUGUGCAUACAGGAGUGCAUGGAACCAACCAGGAAUCUGCAUGGGACUAAACUUGGCCUUUUUU